RNAcentral lists this ribosomal RNA (634 nucleotides) under Elizabethkingia meningoseptica. RNAcentral's name for it is "bacterial SSU rRNA". It matches the Rfam family "Bacterial small subunit ribosomal RNA", at positions 59 to 693 of the family's 1533-position model. Lineage: Bacteria; Pseudomonadati; Bacteroidota; Flavobacteriia; Flavobacteriales; Weeksellaceae. The record is from RNAcentral.
CAGCCGAGCGGUAGAUUACUUUCGGGUAAUUGAGAGCGGCGUACGGGUGCGGAACACGUGUGCAACCUGCCUUUAUCAGGGGGAUAGCCUUUCGAAAGGAAGAUUAAUACCCCAUAAUAUAUUAUUCGGCAUCGGGUGAUAUUGAAAACUACGGUGGAUAGAGAUGGGCACGCGCAAGAUUAGCUAGUUGGUGAGGUAACGGCUCACCAAGGCGACGAUCUUUAGGGGGCCUGAGAGGGUGAUCCCCCACACUGGUACUGAGACACGGACCAGACUCCUACGGGAGGCAGCAGUGAGGAAUAUUGGACAAUGGGUGGAAGCCUGAUCCAGCCAUCCCGCGUGCAGGAAGACGGCCCUAUGGGUUGUAAACUGCUUUUAUCUGGGGAUAAACCUACUUACGUGUAAGUAGCUGAAGGUACCAGAAGAAUAAGCACCGGCUAACUCCGUGCCAGCAGCCGCGGUAAUACGGAGGGUGCAAGCGUUAUCCGGAUUUAUUGGGUUUAAAGGGUCCGUAGGCGGACUGAUAAGUCAGUGGUGAAAUCCGACAGCUUAACUGUCGAACUGCCAUUGAUACUGUUAGUCUUGAGUAAGGUUGAAGUGGCUGGAAUAAGUAGUGUAGCGGUGAAAUGCAUAG